AAUAGAUACCCUGGUAGUCCCAGCUGUAAACGAUGCGCGUUAGGUGUAUCAGUGACCACGAGUCACUGAGGUGCCGAAGAGAAAUCGUGAAACGUGCCGCCUGGGAAGUACGGUCGCAAGGCUGAAACUUAAAGGAAUUGGCAGGGGGAGCACCACAACAGGUGGAGCCUGCGGUUUAAUCGGACUCAACGCCGGGAAACUCACCAGAUAAGACAGCUGAAUGAUUGUCGGGCUGAAGACUCUACAUGACUAGCUGAGAGGAGGUGCAUGGCCGUCGUCAGUUCGUACUGUGAAGCAUCCUGUUAAGUCAGGCAACGAGCGAGACCCACGCCAACAGUUGCUAGCUCGUCCUCCGGGAUGGAGAGGACACUGUUGGGACCGCCUCUGCUAAAGAGGAGGAAGGAAUGGGCAACGGUAGGUCAGCAUGCCCCGAAUUAUCUGGGCUACACGCGGGCUACAAUGGGUGGGACAAUGGGGUAUCGACACCGGAGAGGUGAAGGCAAUCUCCUAAACCCAGUUCCG
This 522-nucleotide ribosomal RNA is filed under the name uncultured bacterium. RNAcentral's name for it is "bacterial SSU rRNA". It matches the Rfam family "Archaeal small subunit ribosomal RNA", at positions 728 to 1246 of the family's 1478-position model. The record is from RNAcentral.